UUCUUUAACAAUGCAGGUGAGACGCUCC
RNAcentral lists this non-coding RNA (28 nucleotides) under Homo sapiens (human). The record is from RNAcentral. Lineage: Eukaryota; Metazoa; Chordata; Mammalia; Primates; Hominidae.